CCCCGGAGUCUGGGAUAACCUCCAGAAAUGGUGGCUAAUACCGGAUAUUAUGCCGAAAGGCAUCUUUUGUGUAUGAAAGGACUUCGGUUCGCUCCGGGAUCGGCCCGCGGCCUAUUAGCUUGUUGGUAGGGUAACGGCCUACCAAGGCUGCGAUGGGUAGCCGGCCUGAGAGGGUGGUCGGUCACACUGGGACUGAGACAUGGUCCAGACUCCUACGGGAGUUAGCAUCAGGGAAUCUUGCUCAAUGGGCGAAAGCCUGAAGCAGCGACGCCGCGUGGGUGAUGAAGGCCUUCGGGUCGUAAAGCCCUGUCAGGGGGGACGAAUGCCGGGUGCUUAGCGCACCCGGAGUGACGGUACCCCCAAAGGAAGCCCCGGCUAACUACGUGCCAGCAGCCGCGGUAAGACGUAGGGGGCGAGCGUUGUCCGGAUUUAUUGGGCGUAAAGCGCGCGUAGGCGGCCAGGUAAGUCGUAGGUGAAAUCCCUGGGCUCAACCCAGGAACGGCUUACGAUACUGCUUGGCUAGAGUACGGGAGAGGAGAGUGGAAUUGCUGGUGUAGCGGUGAAAUGCGUAGAUAUCAGCAGGAACGCCCGUGGCGAAGGCUGCUCUCUGGAACGCUACUGACGCUGAGGCGCGAAAGCUAGGGGAGCAAACGGGAUUAGAUACCCCGGUAGUCCUAGCUGUAAACGAUGGGCACUAGGUGUUGGGGGCAUCGACCCUCCCAGUGCUGUUAUGCUAACGCGUUAAGU
This 747-nucleotide ribosomal RNA is filed under the name uncultured bacterium. RNAcentral's name for it is "bacterial SSU rRNA". It matches the Rfam family "Bacterial small subunit ribosomal RNA", at positions 129 to 865 of the family's 1533-position model. The record is from RNAcentral.